UAGAGUUUGAUCCUGGCUCAGGACGAACGCUGGCGGCGUGCUUAACACAUGCAAGUCGUGCGUGAAGCCGGACUUCGGUCUGGUGGAAAGCGGCGAACGGGUGAGUAACGCGUAGACAACCUGCCCUUGAGAGGGGGAUAGCCCCGGGAAACUGGGAUUAAUACCGCAUAACAUUUGUAAGACAGCUGUUUUACGAAUCAAAGGUUUCGAUCGCUCAGGGAUGGGUCUGCGUAGCAUUAGUUAGUUGGUAGGGUAACGGCCUACCAAGGCGACGAUGCUUAGCUGGUCUGAGAGGAUGAUCAGCCACACUGGGACUGAGAUACGGCCCAGACUCCUACGGGAGGCAGCAGUGAGGAAUAUUGCGCAAUGGAGGAAACUCUGACGCAGCAACGCCGCGUGAGUGAAGACGGCCCGAUGGGUUGUAAAGCUCUGUAAGUGGGGAAGAGAAGUGUGCUAUAUGCACAUUAGACGGUACCCGCAAAGUAAGCUCCGGCUAACUCUGUGCCAGCAGCCGCGGUAAUACAGGGGGAGCGAGCGUUGUCCGGAUUUAUUGGGCGUAAAGGGCAUGUAGGCGGGACAGUAAGUCAGUGGUGUAAUGUAACGGCUCAACCGUUGACCUGCCAUUGAAACUACUGUUCUUGAGUUCAGGAGAGGGAAACGGAAUUCCAGGUGUAGCGGUGGAAUGCAAAGAUAUUUGGAAGAACACCGAAUGCGAAGGCAGUUUCCUGGCCAUGGACUGACGCUGAUGUGCGAAAGCGUGGGUAGCAAACAGGAUUAGAUACCCUGGUAGUCCACGCUGUAAACGAUGGAUACUGGGUGUUGGACGAAGUAAGACCCGUUCAGUGCCGUAGCAAAUGCGUUAAGUAUCCCGCCUGGGGAGUACGAUCGCAAGGUUGAAACUCAAAGGAAUUGACGGGGGCCCGCACAAGCGGUGGAGCAUGUGGUUUAAUUCGAUGCAACGCGAAGAACCUUACCUGGGCUUGUGGCAUACGACGUAAUUGAGAGAUCAAUUAUUCCGACUUCGGUUGGCGUAUGUCUCAGGUGCUGCAUGGCUGUCGUCAGCUCGUGUCGUGAGAUGUUGGGUUAAGUCCCGCAACGAGCGCAACCCUUGUCCUUAUUUGCCAUCAGGUUAUGCUGGGAACUAUAAGGAGACUGCCGCGGUUAACGCGGAGGAAGGUGGGGAUGACGUCAAGUCAUCAUGGCCCUUACGUCCAGGGCUACACACGUGCUACAAUGGGCGGUACAAAGGGUUGCGAGACUGUGAAGUCAAGCGAAUCCCAAAAAACCGUUCCCAGUUCGGAUUGUAGUCUGCAACUCGACUACAUGAAGGUGGAAUCGCUAGUAAUCGCUGAUCAGCAGGUAGCGGUGAAUACGUUCCCGGGCCUUGUACACACCGCCCGUCACACCAUGGAAGUUGGCAGCACUCGAAGUCGCUGUGGUAACCCUCGGGAACCAGGCGCCGAAGGUGAGGUCGAUGACUAGGGUGAAGUCGUAACAAGGUAACCA
RNAcentral lists this ribosomal RNA (1506 nucleotides) under uncultured bacterium. Its description in RNAcentral is "partial 16S ribosomal RNA". It matches the Rfam family "Bacterial small subunit ribosomal RNA". The record is from RNAcentral.